AUAAACUCGACCUUUUGGCUAAGAUCUAAGUGUAGUAUCUGUACUUAUCAGCUUAAUGUCUGGUACGUUCUCCAUAGGGGACCCAGAAGAUUAAACUGAUUUUUGGAAAAUGACGGAGUGCUAAAGGGCUUGCUCCAACUCUGUCGCGGGUUGACCCGGUAUUGCAGUACCUCCGGCAACGGCCCAUUUAAA
This 192-nucleotide small nuclear RNA is filed under the name Rhodnius prolixus. Its description in RNAcentral is "U2 spliceosomal RNA". It matches the Rfam family "U2 spliceosomal RNA". Rfam says of the family: U2 is a small nuclear RNA (snRNA) component of the spliceosome (involved in pre-mRNA splicing). Complementary binding between U2 snRNA (in an area lying towards the 5' end but 3' to hairpin I) and the branchpoint sequence (BPS) of the intron results the bulging out of an unpaired adenosine, on the BPS, which initiates a nucleophilic attack at the intronic 5' splice site, thus starting the first of two transesterification reactions that mediate splicing. The record is from Rfam by way of RNAcentral. Lineage: Eukaryota; Metazoa; Arthropoda; Insecta; Hemiptera; Reduviidae.